Molecule: long non-coding RNA, 245 nt
Filed under: Jatropha curcas
Lineage: Eukaryota; Viridiplantae; Streptophyta; Magnoliopsida; Malpighiales; Euphorbiaceae
Description: long non-coding RNA (JCUR_LNC002533)
Source: RNAcentral
GAUAAGGCUAUGUCGCGACAUAGAAUAGCAGAUCUGCGCCCCAUACAGUUUGGUACUCCGGCUACAGGCCGUUGAGUGGAUAUGAUUAUAUAGGCCAUAGCAGCCAAGCAUACAGUUUCAUCCAGUUUCAUACAGUUUUUCUUAUCACUUCGGUUUCACUAUAACCUUAUGGAGCCAUACAGAUAUCUUGACAUAACAUUGCAUGAAUCAUACAGUAUACUAAACAGCAAGAAAGAUCAUCAAGG